RNAcentral lists this ribosomal RNA (502 nucleotides) under uncultured bacterium. RNAcentral describes it as "partial 16S ribosomal RNA". It matches the Rfam family "Bacterial small subunit ribosomal RNA", at positions 28 to 507 of the family's 1533-position model. The record is from RNAcentral.
GAUGAAUGCUGGCGGCGUGCCUAACACAUGCAAGUCGAGCGGCAGCGAGUUUUCCACUGAAUUCUGGAAGCUUCUGAGUAGUACAGAAGAUUUAUUCAAGAGUUUUGUGUAAAAUGUCGGCGAGCGGCGGACGGCUGAGUAACGCGUAGGAAUUUGCCCCCAAGUGAGGAAUAACUGCCCGAAAGGGUAGCUAAUGCCGCAUAUGGUCUUCGGAUUAAAGCCUUCGGGCGCUUUGGGAGAAGCCUGCGUUGGAUUAGGUAGUUGGUAGGGUAAUGGCCUACCAAGCCGACGAUCCAUAGCUGGUCGGAGAGGAUGAUCAGCCAGACUGGAACUGAGACACGGUCCAGACUCCUACGGGAGGCAGCAGUGAGGAAUCUUCCACAAUGGGCGAAAGCCUGAUGGAGCAACGCCGCGUGAAGGAUGAAGGCCUUCGGGUUGUAAACUUCUUUUAUGAGUGAAGAAUAUGACGGUAACUCAUGAAUAAGCACCGGCUAACUACGUG